Molecule: long non-coding RNA, 200 nt
Filed under: Nicotiana benthamiana
Lineage: Eukaryota; Viridiplantae; Streptophyta; Magnoliopsida; Solanales; Solanaceae
Description: long non-coding RNA (NBEN_LNC000013)
Source: RNAcentral
AAAUCUAUCCUAAGGUCCCAAAUUAGACCAAUGGAAUUCUGUCUGCUAUAUUUAAAACUAAUUAAUACGGGCUUCUGAAUUGAUCUCAUCUUUUAAGACUCCACUUUUUGCUCCGUCUGCGGAGCGUAUGAAUUUCCUGGAAUAUGUAGGCGUAGGCGGUGGUAAACUUCUCUUUCCGGUAGUAGAAGGGAAGCUCGUUA